UCAGUGUCCCUAUUCUGUAAUC
RNAcentral lists this non-coding RNA (22 nucleotides) under Mus musculus (house mouse). The record is from RNAcentral. Lineage: Eukaryota; Metazoa; Chordata; Mammalia; Rodentia; Muridae.